Non-coding RNA from Macaca mulatta (Rhesus monkey), 934 nucleotides. The record is from RefSeq and is a predicted model, not a curated record. Lineage: Eukaryota; Metazoa; Chordata; Mammalia; Primates; Cercopithecidae.
UACAGGUAGGGGAAGAGCAGCACCCGGCAGCACAGGAAGCUGAGCAGCAUCAGGGCCCCGUUCACCUUGUGCAGCAGCGUGUGCUGCUGCUUGUACUGAGGGAACACGGACACCGUGGCCGCCGCGGCAGAAGGGCUCGGCCCCCCUUGGCCCUCUCCCUGCCUCCCUGCAACCCUAGCAGGCAGCUCCUCCCAGACCGGACACUUUGCCAGGACACAAGCACGAGCUCAAAAGGCAAGGGGUGAGGGGGGGAAUGACGAAGGGGCCAGAGCCCUUGGCAGCAACCCUGAAGGUCCCUCCCUUACCCGUGCCCCCCCAUCGGGCUCCCGCACCCUCCCGUGCUCACUCACCUGGAUGAGGAUCUUGCCAAGGCAGACGAAGGGUGUGCUGACCUCUGCCAUCAACAUGCAACCCAGAAAGAAGUCUCCCUUCCCCUGUCGCCACACCUGAGCACACAGGCAGGAAGGUGAGGAAACUGAGGCUCAGAGAUGUGCAACCACAGAUCCAAAGUCCUGCAGCCGGGCACUGUCCAGCCCGGGGCCAGGCUGCCCCCACACCCUGGUGCCCCUGGGCUGGUGCUCAGUGAACCCUGCCUGUCCACAACUUUCCCUGGAAACGUGCUGGGUCUGCUUGGCUGCCAGUACCCAGACCCAGGGCUUCCCGGGUUCCUGCCAGCACCAGUGGGACCAAGGAGCAGGCCACCCACACCCCACCCUCCCAGCUCCCCGGGACUCACCACCGACAGCGGGAAGCACACCAGCACCAUGGCGGCAUGGUGGAGCACCAUGAGGAACUCCUUGUGCAGGGACAGCCAGGCAUUAAGGGGAAAAUGCAGAACAAAAGGAGCCAAGGACAGAGAAAGUUCCAUGUACUUGGAGAGUAAACAAAAAUGAGAAAUGGAUGAAUAGACAAGACAGCAUUUUUCUUCUGGAGU